RNAcentral lists this ribosomal RNA (476 nucleotides) under uncultured bacterium. RNAcentral's name for it is "bacterial SSU rRNA". It matches the Rfam family "Bacterial small subunit ribosomal RNA", at positions 57 to 518 of the family's 1533-position model. The record is from RNAcentral.
GCAAGUCGAACGGUAACAGGAAGCAGCUUGCUGCUUGCUGACGAGUGGCGGACGGGGUGAGUAAUGUCUGGGAAACGUGCCCGAUGGAGGGGGAGUAACUACUGGAAACGGUAAGCGUAAUACCGCAUAAUGUCGCAAGACCAAGAGGGGGACCUUCGGGCCUCUUGCCAUCGGAUGUGCCCAGAUGGGAUUAGCUAGUUGGUGAGGUAACGGCUCACCAAGGCGACGAUCCCUAGCUGGUCUGAGAGGAUGACCAGCCACACUGGAACUGAGACACGGUCCAGACUCCUACGGGAGGCAGCAGUGGGGAAUAUUGCACAAUGGGCGCAAGCCUGAUGCAGCCAAUGCCGCGUGUAUGAAGAAGGCCUUCGGGUUGUAAAGUACUUUCAGCGGGGAGGAAGGGGUUAAGGUUAAUAACCUUAGCCAUUGACGUUACCCGCAGAAGAAGCACCGGCCAACUCCGUGCCAGCCGCGGC